Molecule: ribosomal RNA, 460 nt
Filed under: uncultured bacterium
Lineage: Bacteria
Description: partial 16S ribosomal RNA
Rfam family: Bacterial small subunit ribosomal RNA
Source: RNAcentral
CCUACGGGGGACAGCAGUGAGGAAUAUUGGUCAAUGGACGCAAGUCUGAACCAGCCAUGCCGCGUGCAGGAUGACGGCUCUAUGAGUUGUAAACUGCUUUUGUACGAGGGUAAACCCCGAUACGUGUAUCGGGGUGAAAGUAUCGUACGAAUAAGGAUCGGCUAACUCCGUUCCAGCAGCCGCGGUAAUACGGAGGAUCCGAGCGUUAUCCGGAUUUAUUGGGUUUAAAGGGUGCGUAGGCGGUUUGAUAAGUUAGAGGUGAAAUGUCGGGGCUCAACCCCGAAACUGCCUCUAAUACUGUUGGACUAGAGAAUAGUUGCGGUAGGCGGAAUGUAUGGUGUAGCGGUGAAAUGCUUAGAGAUCAUACAGAACACCGAUUGCGAAGGCAGCUUACCAAACUAUAUCUGACGUUGAGGCACGAAAGCGUGGGUAGCGAACAGGAUUAGAUACCCUGGUAGUC